UGGGGAAUAUUGCACAAUGGGCGAAAGCCUGAUGCAGCAACGCCGCGUGAGUGAUGAAGGUCUUCGGAUUGUAAAGCUCUGUCUUUUGGGACGAUAAUGACGGUACCAAAGGAGGAAGCCACGGCUAACUACGUGCCAGCAGCCGCGGUAAUACGUAGGUGGCGAGCGUUGUCCGGAUUUACUGGGCGUAAAGGGUGCGUAGGCGGAUGUUUAAGUGAGAUGUGAAAUACCCGGGCUUAACUUGGGUGCUGCAUUUCAAACUGGAUAUCUAGAGUGCAGGAGAGGAGAAUGGAAUUCCUAGUGUAGCGGUGAAAUGCGUAGAGAUUAGGAAGAACACCAGUGGCGAAGGCGAUUCUCUGGACUGUAACUGACGCUGAGGCACGAAAGCGUGGGUAGCAAACAGGAUUAGAUACCCUGGUAGUCCACGCCGUAAACGAUGAGUACUAGGUGUAGGAGGUAUCGACCCCUUCUGUGCCGCAGUAAACACAUUAAGUACUCCGCCUGGGAAGUACGAUCGCAAGAUUAAAAACUCUAAAAGUGAAUUGACGGGGUCAU
RNAcentral lists this ribosomal RNA (555 nucleotides) under uncultured bacterium. RNAcentral describes it as "partial 16S ribosomal RNA". It matches the Rfam family "Bacterial small subunit ribosomal RNA", at positions 355 to 922 of the family's 1533-position model. The record is from RNAcentral.